Molecule: non-coding RNA, 216 nt
Organism: Smithella sp. SCADC
Lineage: Bacteria; Pseudomonadati; Thermodesulfobacteriota; Syntrophia; Syntrophales; Smithellaceae
Source: Rfam
CCACCGGAUAGCAAGUUCUUGGAGGCAUGAUGGCAACACCAUGUUUUAUGCGUAGGAUAGCGAGCAGACAGGCCGUAAGCCGAUAGGUUGAAGGGAACGAGCCACGUAAGCAUCUAAGAGGGAAGGACGACACUUUUACGAGGGUGGAAGUCAACACAGGCAGAGCGAGAGAAAAAAAAGGCAAGCACCCGCCUGCUUCCCCGGGGUCUGAGACCA